GAUGAACGCUGGCGGCGUGCUUAACACAUGCAAGUCGAACGAGAAGUGAAGACGGAAACCUUCGGGCGGAAGGCUUUAUUUCGAGUGGCGGACGGGUGAGUAACGCGUGGGUAACCUGCCUCAUACAGGGGGAUAACAGUUGGAAACGACUGUUAAUACCGCAUAAGACCACAGCACCGCAUGGUGCGGGGGUAAAAACUCCGGUGGUAUGAGAUGGACCCGCGUUCGAUUAGCCAGUUGGCGGGGUAACGGCCCACCAAAGCGACGAUCGAUAGCCGAUCUGAGAGGAUGACCGGCCACAUUGGGACUGAGACACGGCCCAAACUCCUACGGGAGGCAGCAGUGGGGAAUAUUGCACAAUGGGGGAAACCCUGAUGCAGCGACGCCGCGUGAGUGAAGAAGUAUCUCGGUAUGUAAAGCUCUAUCAGCAGGGAAGAAAAUGACGGUACCUGAGUAAGAAGCCCCGGCUAACUACGUG
RNAcentral lists this ribosomal RNA (478 nucleotides) under uncultured bacterium. RNAcentral describes it as "partial 16S ribosomal RNA". It matches the Rfam family "Bacterial small subunit ribosomal RNA", at positions 28 to 507 of the family's 1533-position model. The record is from RNAcentral.